This 359-nucleotide ribosomal RNA is filed under the name uncultured bacterium. Its description in RNAcentral is "bacterial SSU rRNA". It matches the Rfam family "Bacterial small subunit ribosomal RNA", at positions 1 to 334 of the family's 1533-position model. The record is from RNAcentral.
GUGAGUAGUUCAGAGUUUGAUCCUGGCUCAGGAUGAACGCUGGCGGCGUGCCUAACACAUGCAAGUCGAGCGGAGAUAUACGCCGAAAGAAGCUUCGGCCUAUUUCAUUGUAUAUCUUAGCGGCGGAUGGGUGAGGAACGCGUGGAGAACCUGCCCUUCACAGGGGGAUAACAGCGGGAAACUGCUGUUAAUACCGCAUAUGCUCACGGUACCGCAUGGUACAGGGAGGAAAGCGCUUAGCGGUGAAGGAUGGCUCCGCGUCGGAUUAGCCAGUUGGCGGGGUAACGGCCCACCAAAGCAAUGAUCCGUAGCCGGCCUGAGAGGGCGACCGGCCACAUUGGGACUGAGACACGGCCCAA